ACUCCUACGGGAGGCAGCAGUGGGGAAUAUUGCACAAUGGGCGUAAGCCUGAUGCAGCAACGUCGCGUGAGGGACGACGGCCUUCGGGUUGUAAACCUCUUUUAGUAGGGAAGAAGCGAAAGUGACGGUACCUGCAGAAAAAGCACCGGCUAACUACGUGCCAGCAGCCGCGGUAAUACGUAGGGUGCAAGCGUUAUCCGGAAUUAUUGGGCGUAAAGAGCUCGUAGGCGGUUUGUCGCGUCUGCUGUGAAAUCUGGGGGCUCAACCCCCAGCCUGCAGUGGGUACGGGCAGACUAGAGUGCGGUAGGGGAGAUUGGAAUUCCUGGUGUAGCGGUGGAAUGCGCAGAUAUCAGGAGGAACACCAAUGGCGAAGGCAGAUCUCUGGGCCGUAACUGACGCUGAGGAGCGAAAGCAUGGGGAGCGAACAGGAUUAGAUACCCUGGUAGUCCAUGCCGUAAACGUUGGGAACUAGAUGUAGGGGCCAUUCCACGGUUUCUGUGUCGCAGCUAACGCAUUAAGUUCCCCGCCUGGGGAGUACGGCCGCAAGGCUAAAACUCAAAGGAAUUGACGGGGGCCCGCACAAGCGGCGGAGCAUGCGGAUUAAUUCGAUGCAACGCGAAGAACCCUACCCAGGCUUGACAUAUACCGGAAAUGGCUGGAAACAGUCUCCCCGCAAGGUCGGUAUACAGGUGGUGCAUGKUUGUCGUCAGCUCGUGUCGUGAGAUGUUGGGUUAAGUCCCGCAACGAGCGCAACCCUCGUUCUAUGUUGCCAGCACGUUAUGGUGGGAACUCAUAGGAGACUGCCGGGGUCAACUCGGA
This 819-nucleotide ribosomal RNA is filed under the name uncultured Actinomycetes bacterium. Its description in RNAcentral is "bacterial SSU rRNA". It matches the Rfam family "Bacterial small subunit ribosomal RNA", at positions 335 to 1167 of the family's 1533-position model. Lineage: Bacteria; Bacillati; Actinomycetota; Actinomycetes. The record is from RNAcentral.